This 1383-nucleotide long non-coding RNA is filed under the name Monodelphis domestica (gray short-tailed opossum). Its description in RNAcentral is "lncRNA (ENSMODG00000051285.1)". Lineage: Eukaryota; Metazoa; Chordata; Mammalia; Didelphimorphia; Didelphidae. The record is from RNAcentral.
UGACUAAAUAAAAUAUAAAAAAUAAUUAUCUAUUUUGUAUCUCACAAUGCUCUCCAUCUCUUAUUUAUUCAUAAAUUCCUUUCCUAUCCAUAAAUAUGAUAGAGAAUAUCUUUUAUUCUUCUAAUUUGCUCAUGGCAUCUCCUUUUAUAUCUAAAUCAUGUACCCAUUUUGAUCUUAUCUUAGUGAAUGGUUUAAAUUAUUUAUAUUUAGUUUUUGUCAAAUUAUUUUCCAGUUGUCCCAGAAAUUUCUAUCAAAUAAUGAUUUUUAUUCAAAUAGGCUUGAUCUAUAAUUUUGUGAAAUACAAGGAUAUUAUAAACUUUUACUACUGUUCAUUGUAUAUCUGUUCUGUUUCACCUUUCUAUUUCUUAGCCAGUACCAGAUAGGUCUGAUAAUUACUUCUUAAUGAUAGUUUAAAAAUUUAAUGAUGGUAGAUAUACCUGCUUUAGGUUUUCCCCAUUAAUUAUUUUGCUAUUCUUGAGACAUCAUUAAUUUUUAAGAAGCUUCUCUCCCUUACAUGAAACUUUUAUUUGCCAUUUACAUGAACUAUGAAGUGAUGAAGAGUGGAAUUUAUAAAAUAGUAGAGCAAUAUAUGAAAUGACUACUAUAAUGUGAACAAACAUAUUAAAAUUCAUUUUCCAUCAGCCAUGCCACUUGGUUUUGACUCCUUGAACAUGAUUCAUGAUCAUCAGAAAUCUCAUCAUCAUGCACACUGACUCAAUUUUGGAUAGAUACAACUUUUUUAGGAACCUUCAGUCUUCUCUCCCAUCUGGAUAAACAGAGGACAAAACAUAAAUUCUUCCCAAACACUUCUUAACAAUUUUCUAUGUAACCUUCCUUUUACUGUGAGGAGAUCUUGUUUUCAGCACUAUGAAUAUCAUGUCAUUCAAUAUGGUACUCUCUUAUAGCUUCUUCCCUAUCCACUCCCCCUUUGAGCUUCCAUUUGGGAAUUGCUUUCUUUCAUAAGAUUAUAAGUUCCUUGAGAACAGGAACUCUUUUCUCUUAUUUGUAUACCCAAAACUUAGUACAGCCCCUAGUAUACUUUAUAAUUACUAAACAUUCAUCAAUGCAUAACUCUUUUGCCUUCAAAUUUGCUUUUAAAAUUCACAUAAUUUAUUAAAAAACAUAUAAUUUUAUAUUUCAAAGUAACUUAGGUGAUAUGUGCAAAUCCUCUCUUUUGGCUUUCAUUAUUGUUGCCUUUGGCUUAUUACAUCUCAGUCAUUUCUUGUCAUUCACAAACCGCCUUUCACUCCAUUUCAUAUUCUGUAAGUGAUUCAGAGAUGCCCUCAUUAAUAUGAGUUUUGGCAUCCAUUUCAACAGAUUUCAAGGCACAUCUUUUUUAGUUCAUCUUCCAUGAAUGUAUGUAUUUACUCUAGCAUCUUGUUU